GUGUUUGCUUCGAUAGCACAUAUACUAAAACUGGAACAAUACAGAAAUUAGCAUGGCCCCUAAAUAAGGAUGAUACGAAAACUUGUGAAACGGUCCAUAUUUUA
Small nuclear RNA from Cebus imitator (Panamanian white-faced capuchin), 104 nucleotides. The record is from Ensembl. Lineage: Eukaryota; Metazoa; Chordata; Mammalia; Primates; Cebidae.